UAUUGGACAAUGGGCGAAAGCCUGAUCCAGCCAUGCCGCGUGUGUGAAGAAGGUCUUCGGAUUGUAAAGCACUUUAAGUUGGGAGGAAGGGCAUUAACCUAAUACGUUAGUGUUUUGACGUUACCGACAGAAUAAGCACCGGCUAACUCUAUGCCAGCAGCCGCGGUAAUACAGAGGGUGCAAGCGUUAAUCGGAAUUACUGGGCGUAAAGCGCGCGUAGGUGGUUUGUUAAGUUGGAUGUAAAUCCCCGGGCUCAACCUGGAACUGCAUUCAAAACUACUACAGAGAUGGAGAGGGUGGUGAAUUUCCUGUGAGCGGUAAAUGCGAGAAAGAAGAACACCAGUGGCGAGCACACCUGGCAAUCUGACUGCGUCAAA
RNAcentral lists this ribosomal RNA (377 nucleotides) under uncultured bacterium. RNAcentral's name for it is "bacterial SSU rRNA". It matches the Rfam family "Bacterial small subunit ribosomal RNA", at positions 362 to 750 of the family's 1533-position model. The record is from RNAcentral.